Molecule: small nuclear RNA, 205 nt
Filed under: Babjeviella inositovora NRRL Y-12698
Lineage: Eukaryota; Fungi; Ascomycota; Pichiomycetes; Serinales
Description: U2 spliceosomal RNA
Rfam family: U2 spliceosomal RNA
About the family: U2 is a small nuclear RNA (snRNA) component of the spliceosome (involved in pre-mRNA splicing). Complementary binding between U2 snRNA (in an area lying towards the 5' end but 3' to hairpin I) and the branchpoint sequence (BPS) of the intron results the bulging out of an unpaired adenosine, on the BPS, which initiates a nucleophilic attack at the intronic 5' splice site, thus starting the first of two transesterification reactions that mediate splicing.
Source: Rfam by way of RNAcentral
AUCUCUUUGCCUUCUGGCUUAGAUCAAGUGUAGUAUCUGUUCUUUUCAGUGUAACAACUGAAAUUCCAUCAAUGAUGGUCUUUUAACUUAUUUUGUUACUUUUAUUUUUGGCCAUAUCGUAACUACCUUUUCCUUGGGCUUGCUCAAGGGGGUAGUCGCACAGUGUCGUUGCCAUUGCACACCCCGGCUUCUGACGCGAAUCUUU